Oxyura jamaicensis (ruddy duck) is the source of this 1852-nucleotide long non-coding RNA. RefSeq lists it as uncharacterized. The transcript has 2 exons. The record is from RefSeq and is a predicted model, not a curated record. NCBI's taxonomy places the organism in Eukaryota, Metazoa, Chordata, Aves, Anseriformes, Anatidae.
AGCGCUGACGAUGGCAGCGCUACAACUGAUUAACAAGUACAUCUAUCAGAAUUUGUUUCCUGUGCCUUUUAAGUAAAUAAUAUUUGGUACAGCCACACUCUAAUAACAUUGAGGGGAAUUUUGCAGUAACAACCUCAUCUUUACCAUAAAUCUUCCAUCUCUGUAGCAUUCUGCCUGUGAAGGAGGCUUAGAUACAGCACGGCACACAGCGCUGGCAGAUGUGCUACGCCGGGCUGCUUUUGUUACCAUUAGUUCCCAUGAAAGAGAACUGUUGGCAAUUUUCAGAGACUGGCAGUUUACCAACCAUAACUAUUCUUGCCUUCCAAGAUUUCUUUAUCACAUGACAAAAUCUACCUACAAAAUCUCCAUGAGCUUGAAACCACUCGCCCCACUACCUGAGUUUAGAAGCCAUCCUGUUUUACCUGUGCCCCUUUGACUGCCAUUCCUAAGAGCUGCCAGGCAUUGGGGGCUGUUGGCUUUUAAUAAAAUCCCACAUAUUCCUUGCAGAGGUGGGGCUCACACACCUAUUCAGGGAGACAAACCUUGACCUUGGGCUAAUACCGAGUCUUAUUGCCUGGAACACCCGUUUUUCCAGCCUAAUGGAAACAAGGAACUUCUACGCACAGAGAAGCCAACACAUAACCUAAUUUCUUCCUUGUAGUACCAGGACUUGCAAAGGCGCAAAAUCCGCUGAGGAAACUGAACUAUCUGUGUGUGCACCUGUUUGUUCAUCGCUUUACAUGGAAAGGGUGUCUGAUAGAAGAUGCAUGCAGUAAAAUAUAACCAGCUUUCUUUGGGAAAUAUUUACGCUGCAGUUACUAUUUUUCUAAGCAGUUACUAUUUUUCAGAUUUAAAUCUCUCAUUCUCUUUCAUUUUGCUUUUUGAAAUUCCCAGACCAAGGGAAUCUCUCUACAGAUUAAUGCACCACCAAAUUUUCAGUAUUUCAUGUUUGGAAUAUGAGAGGGAGAAAAUCUCUCUGAAACCUAAAUAUUUUCCCCCUCUAAAGACCAGACCCAUUUUUGGGAAAAAAUAUGCAAAAGCAUUCUCCUCAGGCUGAAUGUUAUAUGCAGUUUCAGCUUAAAGCACAGCUUUAUAGCAGAUGUAUAAAACAAUCAAAAUUUGGGGAUUUGUGGGAAUACUAGCAGAUCUUUACUGUGAGUGCAGAGCAGAUCCUGACACACUAUAACACUGUUUUUGUCUUAAUCGUCAAAAGUAAGCUAUAGAGGACAAAAAAUUCUUUGUUUGACAGAAAAGCAAUUGCUAUUUCUUGUAAAACAUAUAAUAUAUUCCAGAAGACCUAAGGGUUUACUUUCCAAUACGGAUAGAAAAAGAUGUGCGCCCCACUGUGAGCUCGCAGUAAGGCUGUUUCAUGUAAAAAGUUGGUAAUUAGUCCCUGAGUGAAUAAAGUAGAAGAGAUAAGAGACCUAUACUUACUGUAAGCAACACAAAACACUUCUUCUAGCUGCUAGGAUUUAAAGGGUGUGUGGGUGGGAGGGGGGGACCUAUGCCUACUCAUUUAACUUACAAGUGUCUAAACCCUGGAAAAUUAUUUCUUACAUUAAGCUUAAACGUGUACUUCAAAUUGUUACUAACCGACGGAAAGAUUGGUCAGAGACAUGGCAAUUCGAAAAAGCAGACAGGAGUGAAAAAUUCUAUGAAAGCACAAGAGAGUGUUGUGUUGUACAUCGGUAGCAGAUUUCAUGCUCAUUGUACGCCACUGACUUCAGCAGGGUUACCCCAGCAUUACCUGGUGUUUCAGCAACCUACCGUGUUAGCAUUCAAAGGAUCCUUAUAGAAAAGGAAACACUUGGAAAACUAAACCACGUACCUGUGGCCAAAUUCAUCUAAUAAA